This 597-nucleotide ribosomal RNA is filed under the name Meyerozyma guilliermondii. RNAcentral's name for it is "eukaryotic LSU rRNA". It matches the Rfam family "Eukaryotic large subunit ribosomal RNA", at positions 68 to 664 of the family's 3401-position model. Lineage: Eukaryota; Fungi; Ascomycota; Pichiomycetes; Serinales; Debaryomycetaceae. The record is from RNAcentral.
CCACGGAUAGCUUAGCUAGCGGCGAGUGAAGCGGCAAAAGCUCAAAUUUGAAAUCUGGCGCCUUCGGUGUCCGAGUUGUAAUUUGAAGAUUGUAACCUUGGGGUUGGCUCUUGUCUAUGUUUCUUGGAACAGGACGUCACAGAGGGUGAGAAUCCCGUGCGAUGAGAUGCCCAAUUCUAUGUAAGGUGCUUUCGAAGAGUCGAGUUGUUUGGGAAUGCAGCUCUAAGUGGGUGGUAAAUUCCAUCUAAAGCUAAAUAUUGGCGAGAGACCGAUAGCGAACAAGUACAGUGAUGGAAAGAUGAAAAGAACUUUGAAAAGAGAGUGAAAAAGUACGUGAAAUUGUUGAAAGGGAAGGGUUUGAGAUCAGACUCGAUAUUUUGUGAGCCUUGCCUUCGUGGCGGGGUGACCCGCAGCUAAUCGGUCCAGCAUCGGAUUGGGCGGUAGGAUAAUGGCGUAGGAAUGUGACUUUACUUCGAUGAAGUGUUAUAGCCUGCGUUGAUGCUGCCUGCCUAGACCGAGGACUGCGAUUUUAUCAAGGAUGCUGGCAUAAUGAUCCCAAACCGCCCGCUGAAAAACGGGAACAAGCUAUUUUUUAAA